GGGGAAUACAAUCAAUGUUGAUGAUCAGCCGCAUGGAAUGGAUCAGCUGCCAUGUGUUGGAGGUGUGGAAAGUGUGCAACGAGGCCUGGGCUGCCAGCUGGAGGCGUCAUGUGUGUGGUGCUUCCUAGAAGAUCACAGCUGAUGCUGAAUGCACGUUAGGCUUCAUAUGGUGUGGGACGUGUGCACUCCAAGUAUUUCAAUCGAGGCACUCCAUGAUGUGUAAAUGUGAUGGUAUGAAACAUGUGCUUUCAUGAUGCAGCCCCUUCCUUGCUAAGCUCAGCCCCCC
RNAcentral lists this long non-coding RNA (286 nucleotides) under Vigna radiata. RNAcentral describes it as "long non-coding RNA (VRAD_LNC003670)". Lineage: Eukaryota; Viridiplantae; Streptophyta; Magnoliopsida; Fabales; Fabaceae. The record is from RNAcentral.